CACCGCCUGGGGAGUACGACCGCAAGGUUAAAACUCAAAUGAAUUGACGGGGACCCGCACAAGCAGUGGAGCAUGUGGUUUAAUUCGAAGAUACGCGCAGAACCUUACCAACACUUGACAUGUUCGUCGCGAACCUAAGAGAUUAGGUUCUUCAUUCAGUUGGACGAAACACAGGUGCUGCAUGGCUGUCGUCAGCUCGUGUCGUGAGAUGUUGGGUUAAGUCCCGCAACGAGCGCAACCCUUACUUUUAGUUGCCACCAUUUAGUUGAGAACUCUAAAAGAACUGCCAGUGAUAAGCUGGAGGAAGGCGGGGAUGACGUCAAGUCCUCAUGGCCCUUACGUGUUGGGCUACACACGUGCUACAAUGGCAUUUACAAUGAGAUGCAAAGAGGCGACUCCAAGCCAAUCUCAAAAAAAUGCCUCAGUUCGGAUUGUACUCUGCAACUCGAGUACAUGAAGCUGGAAUUGCUAGUAAUCGCGGAUCAGCGCGCCGCGGUGAAUACGUUCCCGGGUCUUGUGCACACCGACCGUCACACCAUGGAAGUUGGUUACACCUGAAGGCAAAGCGUAAAACCUUUGACUACGGUACGAUCAGCGACUGGGGUGAAGUCGUAACAAGGUAGCCGUAGGGGAACCUGCGGCUGGAUCACCUCCUUUCUAAGGAAAUCGAAAAAUAUAAAAAACAAUUAUUUUCGAUUUAAAAAAAUCGGUUAAUGUGACCGUCCUCAUUUCUCUUCUUUUAAUGUCUCUGAGUAAGUGUGAGUAAGGGGCCGGUAGCUCAGGUGGUUAGAGCGCACCCCUGAUAAGGGUGAGGUCGGAAGUUCGAGUCUUCCUCGGCCCACCAAUAUUACGGGGGAUUAGCUCAGCUGGGAGAGCGCCUGAUUUGCAUUCAGGAGGUCAGCGGUUCGAUCCCGCUAUCCUCCACCAAAUUUGAGACAUUUAGCUUUUUUAAAUUGUGAAUAUUAUUAAUAUCAAUAUCUAUAUCCGAUUGUUUUCAGGUAUUUUCUUGAAAACAAUCAAAACAAAAAUUUAAUUUAUUACAGAAAAGUUUUUUUCUG
RNAcentral lists this small RNA (1058 nucleotides) under uncultured Pelagibacterales bacterium. RNAcentral describes it as "bacterial SSU rRNA". The stretch from base 1 to 657 matches the Rfam family "Bacterial small subunit ribosomal RNA", at positions 867 to 1533 of the family's 1533-position model. Lineage: Bacteria; Pseudomonadati; Pseudomonadota; Alphaproteobacteria; Candidatus Pelagibacterales. The record is from RNAcentral.